AGUGAACGCUGGCGGUAGGCCUAACACAUGCAAGUCGAACGGCAGCACAGUAAGAGCUUGCUCUUACGGGUGGCGAGUGGCGGACGGGUGAGGAAUACAUCGGAAUCUACUUUUUCGUGGGGGAUAACGUAGGGAAACUUACGCUAAUACCGCAUACGACCUACGGGUGAAAGCAGGGGAUCUUCGGACCUUGCGCGAUUGAAUGAGCCGAUGUCGGAUUAGCUAGUUGGCGGGGUAAAGGCCCACCAAGGCGACGAUCCGUAGCUGGUCUGAGAGGAUGAUCAGCCACACUGGAACUGAGACACGGUCCAGACUCCUACGGGAGGCAGCAGUGGGGAAUAUUGGACAAUGGGCGCAAGCCUGAUCCAGCCAUACCGCGUGGGCGAAGAAGGCCUUCGGGUUGUAAAGCCCUUUUGUUGGGAAAGAAAAGCAGCAGGUUAAUACCCCGCUGUUCUGACGGUACCCAAAGAAUAAGCACCGGCUGACUUCGUG
This 492-nucleotide ribosomal RNA is filed under the name uncultured bacterium. RNAcentral describes it as "partial 16S ribosomal RNA". It matches the Rfam family "Bacterial small subunit ribosomal RNA", at positions 29 to 507 of the family's 1533-position model. The record is from RNAcentral.